UCAACUGAUUCCUGUACGAGAGUUAACU
RNAcentral lists this small RNA (28 nucleotides) under Bombyx mori (domestic silkworm). RNAcentral's name for it is "ovarian small RNA-24650". Lineage: Eukaryota; Metazoa; Arthropoda; Insecta; Lepidoptera; Bombycidae. The record is from RNAcentral.